RNAcentral lists this ribosomal RNA (404 nucleotides) under uncultured bacterium. RNAcentral describes it as "bacterial SSU rRNA". It matches the Rfam family "Bacterial small subunit ribosomal RNA", at positions 356 to 774 of the family's 1533-position model. The record is from RNAcentral.
GGGGAAUAUUGGGCAAUGGGGGAAACCCUGACCCAGCAACGCCGCGUGAGUGAAGAAGGCCUUCGGGUUGUAAAGCUCUGUCGCAGGGGACGAAGAAAGUGACGGUACCCUGUGAGGAAGCCCCGGCUAACUACGUGCCAGCAGCCGCGGUAAUACGUAGGGGGCGAGCGUUGUCCGGAAUUACUGGGCGUAAAGGGUGCGUAGGCGGCUUGUUAAGUUGGAUGUGAAAUACCCGGGCUCAACCUGGGGGGUGCAUUCGAUACUGGCAGGCUAGAGUGCAGGAGAGGGAAGCGGAAUUCCUAGUGUAGCGGUGAAAUGCGUAGAGAUCGGGAGGAACAUCAGUGGCGAAGGCGACUGCCUGGGCCAACACUGACACUGAGGCACGAAAGCGUGGGGAGCAAACA